GCUUGAAUCACUCCGCUAUGCUGGGGCUGAAUUCCUCUUUUCUGAGAGUUCCUGGAAACAGCUUUCUGGACUUGAGGCCUCAUUUAUGGGCAGAGAAUAUCACCAGGUGGUUCCUGCAGCCAGCCUAUAACUUCUGGCUAAGCUAGAGCAGAUCAGUUAGAAAGAGAGAUCCCAUCUCCACAUGACAGAGAGUCCAGCCCAUUGACAGCUUAGGGCAGCAAAAACGCUAGAGCCGGCCCUGCAUGGAGAGCAACUGAUCACCGUCCUCUUUACAACAGCCCUUAACAUAUUGGAAGACUGUUCUGGGGUCACUCCUCAGUCUGCUUUUCUCAAGGUUAGAAAGUGCUGGAAGGUCUAACUAGACAGUGUAACUUCAUGAUUCAAACCUGGCAACUCAGGAAAUCAGGAGAGAGCUGAAUCCUCAAGCAGCAUGUUGGCUUUUUGCUGCAUCUUCCUGCCGCUCGAUGAAAUCACCCAUGGCAGAUGCAUCCUACCUCUGCAAGGUGCACCCCAGGGGGACCAGACUGACUGAGCAGGGAUGAGUGAAUGUGAACAUCAGCAAACCUCGGCUGUGACCUGUCGAUGUGAUGAUGUCGUGCCACGACCUUUGUCAGAAUCUUGCCAUGCAGUAUGAUAAUAUCAGCAAGUGCCAUGGCUGCGGGGAUGGAGUACAAUCUGUAGGAGUGGCUGGCUGGCUGCAUGAAAAAGCAGCUAGCCAAAACAUUCUCUGGCCUCUGGACGCCUGAUCUGAGUGAAGGGAAGGGGCAAAGAUCUGUCUGCUUUCCCAUGCACCCAGCCCUCUGCAAUCAAGGAUGGGCUCCUGAAAUAUCAGGAUCUGCAAGAGUGGCUCUGUCCCCAGACAUCACAGCAGGAGACGCUGUCAUCCCAAUGCAAAAUUAAAGCUGUUUCCCAGUCUUGUGUCUAAUGCACAAGGAAGGGGGAGUGACUGAGAGCCAAGGGGAACACAUGGAGAAGGAGGGAGGAAUCUAGUUAGAUGACGAUUAGACAUAACACUUUGUCUUGCUGCUUUUUGAAUAAUCAGGACUUGCAAAGACUCUGAUCCCCAAUUUACUGGUGGGGAAACUAAGAAACUGAGACAUCAAGUGAAUCAGGCAGAAAUGGAGCCCAAGCCCCUGGUCUAACCACAAGAUCCCCAUGGCUCGUUUAAUAGAACUUUAGUUCCAUCAUGACAAUGCCAGGUCAGUUUACUCCUCAGGGCCUAGGCGCUGCCCCGUGAAUUUCUGAUGGCUGGUGAAGUCUUUGGUGCAUUUAAUAAACCCUGCAUGGGACUAAUGCUUUCCCUAAGACCUGCUUUUGUUGCCUGUGGGCACUUGGCAGGUGUAUCUCCUCCCCCUAACUUCUGGGGGUUUGGCCACGCAUCAGGUUGUUUCACUUUCGCUUUGGGGCCGGCCCAGGAAAAACAGCAAAGUUUGGUUUGGA
This is a long non-coding RNA of Gopherus flavomarginatus (Mexican gopher tortoise), 1440 nucleotides long. RefSeq lists it as uncharacterized. Lineage: Eukaryota; Metazoa; Chordata; Testudines; Testudinidae. The record is from RefSeq and is a predicted model, not a curated record. The transcript has 3 exons.